RNAcentral lists this ribosomal RNA (495 nucleotides) under uncultured bacterium. RNAcentral describes it as "bacterial SSU rRNA". It matches the Rfam family "Bacterial small subunit ribosomal RNA", at positions 29 to 518 of the family's 1533-position model. The record is from RNAcentral.
AUGAACGCUAGCGACAGGCCUAACACAUGCAAGUCGAGGGGCAGCACAAGGAGCAAUCUGAGGUGGCGACCGGCGCACGGGUGAGUAACACGUAUGCAACCUGCCUGUAAGCGGGGAAUAACCCGUUGAAAGACGGACUAAUACCGCAUAGUACUAAAUUACUGCAUGGUAAUUUAUUUAAACAUUUAUGGCUUACAGAUGGGCAUGCGCAUGAUUAGCUAGUUGGAGAGGUAACGGCUCCCCAAGGCAACGAUCAUUAGGGGUUCUGAGAGGAAGGUCCCCCACACUGGUACUGAGACACGGACCAGACUCCUACGGGAGGCAGCAGUGAGGAAUAUUGGUCAAUGGACGAGAGUCUGAACCAGCCAAGUCGCGUGCAGGAAGAAUGUCCCUAUGGAUUGUAAACUGCUUUUGCAGGGGAAUAAAGUGCAUCACGUGUGAUGUUUUGUAUGUACUCUGCGAAUAAGGAUCGGCUAACUCCGUGCCAGCCGCCGC